Harpegnathos saltator (Jerdon's jumping ant) is the source of this 461-nucleotide long non-coding RNA. RefSeq lists it as uncharacterized. NCBI's taxonomy places the organism in Eukaryota, Metazoa, Arthropoda, Insecta, Hymenoptera, Formicidae. The record is from RefSeq and is a predicted model, not a curated record. The transcript is spliced from 3 exons.
UCGCCAUUUUGAAUUUUGAAAAUCUGACAACGGAUUCGUAAUCAGCGACCCAGAAAACCCUUUGAUACGAAGUUUUAUAGAAAUCGGUUAAAAGGAAAAAUUCGUGGCUCAAAGGGUUAAGCGAACCAUGCCCAGAAAAUAAACCGGCUUUGAAGAACACAGUCCGGGACAUCCAGAUGCACGAGAUAAGGACCUGAUGUGCUGGUGAUAACUGCAAUUUACCAUAAUUACAAUCGUCUAUUUCGCUGAUCCUAAUAUGCUCAUCGAUAGCCAAUCCCAUCUCCGCGAAUGACGACGAAUAAACUGAAAGACAAAACUGAAAAGUCAGCAGCGUCCUUCGAAAGAUUCAGCACUUCUCCCGUGAAUUCCGGAUCUGUGGACGAACUUCGACUUUCCGGGCCGGCGCGGAAAGUGAUCGCCAGUAGAGCGGUCAACAUUCCGUAGAAAGGACGAUUCUCGGC